Long non-coding RNA from Anopheles arabiensis, 2022 nucleotides. RefSeq lists it as uncharacterized. NCBI's taxonomy places the organism in Eukaryota, Metazoa, Arthropoda, Insecta, Diptera, Culicidae. The transcript has 2 exons. The record is from RefSeq and is a predicted model, not a curated record.
CACACAUCUUAACCACCAAGAAAAAGAGAAAUUACAUUUAUUUCUUAACAAGUUUCAAGAUUUAUUCCAGCCACCCGACGAAAAGUUGCCCUUUACAACAAAGGUAGAAGCAACCAUAGCCACGAAUGAUACGGAACCAAUUUACUAAUCGCGUUUUUCACCCUAUAUGGUGUUCUACAAGCUAGCAUAAACAUUUUCGACAUAACAAACAACCCAUUGGCUAUUGUUCCGUUAGGACAAGCAAAAAUUAGGAUCGGAUACUUGAGGACGAUUCAUCCAAUUGAUCUUACCGAGCUAGAAGAGAUAAUUUCUAGAGUUUUUGAAAAUAGCACAAACAGUACAGGAAAAUCCCCAUUGCAAAGUUUAAUUAAUUUGAAGCUCGAAAAACUUAACGCCACAAUUUCUAAGAUUAGGCCACGUAGACUUCGAACGAAAAGAUGGAACAGUAUAGGUACCGCCUGGAAGUGGAUAGCUGGCAGUCCCGACGCAGAAGAUCUAACGAUAAUCAACACCACCCUGAAUUCGCUCAUCCUACAAAACAACGAGCAGCUAUUAAUCAAUAAUGGUCUCAGCAGAAGAUUCCAAGAAACAACCAAUAUUGCUAAUCAUGUUAUCGACCUUCAGAAUAGGAUCCAAAGGGAACAUCAAACUGAGAUACAACAGAUCAUUAAGAUAACAAACCUAGACGCAUUACAAGCCCAUAUAAAAACACUCCAAGAAGCCAUACUAGCCGCUAAGCAUGGGAUACCGAAUAGCGAGCUACUAUCAAUAGAAGACUUAAACACCGUUGCAGAAUUUCUGGCACAAAAUGGCAUUUACUAUACAUCAGUUGAAGAAAUGUUAACACAAGCCACAGCACAAGUUACCAUGAAUUCAACACACGUGAUAUUUAUGCUAAAGUUUCCACGUCUAUCCUAUGAAACUUAUGAGUACAACUAUAUCGACUCUAUCAUACAAAAUGAUAAGAGAAUCUUAAUCAAGCAUAACUACAUAAUCCGGAAUCUAACCCAUAUGUUCGAAUUACCGCAGCCCUGUAUCGAUCAGAGCAGCCACCAGCUUUGCGAAAGUAAAGAUCUGGAAGAGCCUUCACGCUGCAUACGACAACUCGUACAAGGGGAGCAUACAGAAUGUAUGUACGAAAAGGUGUAUUCAACGGGAUUAGUUAAACACAUUAACAAUGCGAAUAUUCUAUUGAAUGAUGCCACUGCCGAAAUUUCAUCCAACUGCAGCAAUAUAAACCACAUUCUUAAUGGAUCAUAUCUCAUACAAUUUCACAACUGCAAUAUCUUUAUUAACGGAGAACUCUUUCCCAGCACAGAAGUUUCGAUAACCGGUAAACCAUAUAUAUCAACUCUUGGCCUCAUCGCUAAAGAAGACGGCAUCAGAGACGAACCUUCAAUUGAACAUCUUCGAAACAUAACAUUGCAGCACAGAGAGAAACUACAUACCAUCAGCCUGGUUAAUAAUUCCCUCACAUGGAAACUUCAUAUCUUUGGGUCAAUUGGGCUAACGACAAUUGUUCUGAUAACAAUAGCAAUUUUAUAUUUCAUUACCAGUAUAAGAAGAACGAAAAUAAGCCUCAACAUUCCAACGAACAACACCAACCGACAGGAUGUCCACCACAUAGAAACCUUCGUGAAAAAACCCACAACAUUCCAUGCUCUCGGCAGACUUUGAGGGCAAAGUCAUCUAAGAAGGGAGGAGUUAGACCGACCCGCUAGAAACCAGACUGCAAGCUGGCAUUCCACACCGGCUACGAGCAGACGAAGAUGUAACGCUACACCGGCCACGAGCGGACAACGGCGACAUGCGCAAGUAAUGCGACACGCAGACCGAUCGUGAGAACGGACCAAUGCAGCCAGCAACCAGCGGCUUCGUUAGAACAUUAGCUCGUUAGGUUUAGUCAGUCGAAGUCUAGAGUCAGCCAGAUAUAGAUCAUAGUUUAGCUUUAGUCAGGAGUAAUCCUGUUUGUGUAAAAUAAAAAUCUUUUUUUUAUGGCCAACCGGCCUAGAUAAAGAUUAA